Molecule: long non-coding RNA, 1507 nt
Organism: Haplochromis burtoni (Burton's mouthbrooder)
Lineage: Eukaryota; Metazoa; Chordata; Actinopteri; Cichliformes; Cichlidae
Exons: 5
Source: RefSeq, a predicted model, not a curated record
CGGAAAUUAAUCAAACUGCUUUUCUAGUGGGCGUUUCUUCUUCUUCUUCUUGUUCUGGGGCAGCGUUCGUGCACACUUGUCGCAGAUAUUUCACCAUUUUAUGCCUCAGCCGCUGUGAAAAUGAUCCAGAAGUUGAGAUUCUUCGAAAGGACCUCGUGUCACGAAGAGGGGAGAAGGAAAAGCUCCAUCACAUGACGGAGGAUGUGCGUCGGUGGUUCACAAGCACUCAUUAAUCUGCAGCGCAGAAGGUGAUCUGGAGGAGAAGAUGCCCCAUUUCACAACAUAAUACAACAAACUGCACGAGGCAAUGGAGAGCUCAGCCUGUGUGGGGCUUUCCUCUGGGGAAGUGCUCCCUUGAUGGCCAACACAGCCAAACAACUACUUUGAUAAGGAACAUACAACAAUGAAGGGCCAUCCGGAGUUCUCGUCCGUGUUUGUAAGUAGUUCUACGAGAAUAACAUCCUCUCCUAACAGCACAGGCCCGGCACACUGCCUUCUUGCCCCAGCUCUGGCUCCCCCUAGCAGUCCCUCCAUAUUUCCUUGUUACUGCACACCAUAAUGCCCUGACCCUCCCUGAUCUAUUAUACAGUAAAAACACCAAAAUACAUCUUAAAACCUAAAUUUCUCUGUCUAAAUAAUAACUAUAGAGGCUCUACUUGCCUUCCAGCCAACAUUAGGCACCAUUGGCCACAUCAGAACAGAGGAUUGCUUACCUUUCAGACAGUGGCUCUAACUAUACCUCCCUCUCCAAAGUCCCAACCUCGACAGCCUCCUUCUUCUUCCCAGCAAUCCCUGCAAAAAGGACACUUCCAUGUCUGUAGCUCAUGUAGGGGUGAACAAAUUUGACAAAAUCAUUUCUAAAAAGCCCAGAAAGUCCCCCAAAUCUAAAAAUGGCCAUUUGGGCCCUAAAUAAACAUGACCUCCAAUACCCCAUUAUAAAAUAAUUUAAAAAAUGGCAUUAAAAGGUAAAGCCCCCUCCUCAGAAAUAUACUGUUCUACCCCUAUGGUUUCAACUUAUUUUGGUCCAUCCAGUAGUCAUACAGUUAAUACUGAAGAGGGAUUGUCCGUGAGUGCGCAACUGAACUCUUAGGAACUUGCUGCUGCUUUUCGUGCGUUUGCCAAGUCAUGGAGCAUCUCUGAGAGGCUACACAGACUUCAUUGGUGGGAUUAAUUGGUAAAACGGACCCUUUUCUUAUGGACUAGAUCAAAAGAAUCCGAAGAAAACUAUUUUCACGUGAAUAAAAUCCAACAAAGCCAAAAGUGAGCCGCGAAUCCAAAUGGACAUCUCCAAAAGUGCACAGGUGUAUCCAAAUGCUCAGGGAGCUCUCAAGAGGCAACAGGAGUAUAAAAGAAAAUUGUAUCCAGCGUAAAAGCUGGGGGCAGGAGGAGCGCCUUGUUGACACGUUGAAAGCCACAAUAUUGAAGCCCCGGGGCAGAGGCGCGACUACAGAACACCGAAAUAUAUUCAUGUACAGUGUCACCAUUCUUAUGUUCUAGAUUAAACAAG